GUGGGGAAUAUUGGACAAUGGGGGGAACCCUGAUCCAGCCAUGCCGCGUGUGUGAAGAAGGCCUUUUGGUUGUAAAGCACUUUAAGCGAGGAGGAGGCUUACCUGGUUAAUACCUGGGAUAAGUGGACGUUACUCGCAGAAUAAGCACCGGCUAACUCUGUGCCAGCAGCCGCGGUAAUACAGAGGGUGCGAGCGUUAAUCGGAUUUACUGGGCGUAAAGCGCGCGUAGGUGGUUAAUUAAGUCAAAUGUGAAAUCCCCGAGCUUAACUUGGGAAUUGCAUUCGAUACUGGUUAGCUAGAGUAUGGGAGAGGAUGGUAGAAUUCCAGGUGUAGCGGUGAAAUGCGUAGAGAUCUGGAGGAAUACCGAUGGCGAAGGCAGCCAUCUGGCCUAAUACUGACACUGAGGUGCGAAAGCAUGGGGAGCAAACAGGAUUAGAUACCCCAGUAGUCC
RNAcentral lists this ribosomal RNA (451 nucleotides) under uncultured bacterium. RNAcentral's name for it is "partial 16S ribosomal RNA". It matches the Rfam family "Bacterial small subunit ribosomal RNA", at positions 354 to 796 of the family's 1533-position model. The record is from RNAcentral.